Molecule: long non-coding RNA, 1541 nt
Organism: Herpailurus yagouaroundi (jaguarundi)
Lineage: Eukaryota; Metazoa; Chordata; Mammalia; Carnivora; Felidae
Exons: 2
Source: RefSeq, a predicted model, not a curated record
GCCCGGCCGCCGCGCUCACCCGCUCCCUCGUGGCCGCCGCGGCCGCCGCCGCCUCCUCGGUCUCCUCGUCCGCCGCGCUGGGGACUCUGCACCAAGGGACUGCCCUGUCCAGUGUCGAGAACUUUACUGCUAGGAUUUCAAAUUGUUAAUAACGCUAUGUUAGCGCGCUUGGGAAAGAGAAGCACGGCUAAGAGAGAGGACUUUGGAACCGAGAACGUCCAGAUGCCACAGCUGCCCGGGGUGGAGACGAGUUAGCAGGCGGAACCCAGACGGCCCAGGCACCGCUCGCAUGCCUCGCAGCCUUCUGUAAGUCACAGAUCUGAAACUUAGAGCUGAAAGUCAUUAUGAUGAGAGAGUGAAAGAACGGGGCCAUGGGUAUUAUUAUUAUUUGCAUGAUACUUGGAUGUCCCGAACAGCGGGGAAUCCCAGCUACUCCUUCUCUCUGUUCAAAUUCCCCCAUCUCUAAAAAGUGCCAGGACGGACUCUACCCCCUCCCCCGCCCCCAGGUUGUCCGCGCUUUUAAGAGAAUGGUAACAAGGCACUGUGCAAUCCGGCGCUGGCCUCCUUUGGCGUCUGGAGGUGGGGUCCCGCAUCACCCAAGCCAGCUAGAGAGACCGCAAGCCUGUGGUGCGCCCCUGAGCCCUAAGAAAAAGUAAGCUCAACCGGCCUGCUCACUGUCGCGUUUUGCCUCAUCACCUUCCGGGUUUGGGCUUCCACGGUAGGUGUUGCUGGCCCGGAGACGGACGAGAUAGUGGGGAGCGAAGGCGGCGAGCUGGGCAGGGAGUGAGCGGUGGCGGACUACCAGGCGGCCGGGAACGCGGGGCUCGCCCGGUUGGCCGAGUGGACGAGCAGGUGCUGGAACAAAGGCCGCGGGGCUGCCGGGCUACGGAGGCCUUUGAUGGGCAAGGACGUCUCCUCCCGGGGCUCCUCAUUCGCAUGCAAAUCCAGCUCUGGUCCUCUUUUCUUUGAAGGCAAACAGAAGGAUGUUUGUGUGUUUGUAAGGACGAAGCUUGCUUGAACAAGCCUUCCUCAAUAGGCUGGGUCUCGAAAAAUAAACCGGUUGGACAAACAUUGGCCACCAGCUCUCCUCCUCCCAACUACAAAGUGUGGAUUUGCUACAACUCAUUAACCCGACGCUUUUCUCCCCUUCGCCUUGUUUCUCUGCUCAUCAAACGCCCCCGUAGAGCCUGGAGACAAAUGACCGAAGCUCAGUCGGGAGGGAAUUGCAGUUAAUAGGGAGAGGGAUAUAUUGGGGCUAAUGGUUCAGGCAGCUCCCGGAGAAGGACCACACAAAAAGGAGCCUCUCCAUUCAGGGCUCUGUUGUGCUGCGGAGAUUUACUCUGCAGCUAGAUUUAUCCAAAUGUUAUCUAUUGCCCGGGUAAUGAAGCCCUUAUGGAUUGAAUUGCUCCUUGUACCACACAUGAUGUCAUGACCUUAGAUCGUUUCUUGGUUGAUUUCUUUUUUUCUCUGUUGGGUAAUUAUUUUAUUUCUUUAAAAUAAGAAGCUAGAGCUUCUGCUCAACAACAUGUUUCCUCUCCGUC